ACUGUUUUGAUCCUAGACAUUAUAUUGCUUGUAAUUAUAAUAAUACAUGCCAGCCUCCACACACCUGUGAGUACCGCCCCACUUGGAGCCGGUAUCAGGCACACCACCACUGUGGCAGCCCAAGACACCUAGCCUCGCCACACCCCCACUGGGCCUCAGCAGUAGUAAACACUAAGCAAUAAGCCUGGACACUUGACUUGGUAAUAAUUAUACACCCGGCCGGUAAACCUCGUGCCAGCCACCGCGGUUAAACUUCGUGCCAGCCACCGCGGUAAACUUCGUGCCAGCCACCGCGGUUAUACGAGGGGCCAAAAACAAUAUAUUCCGGCGUAAAAUGUGACUAAAGAGUAAUUUCAAACCGAGGGAAGAACCAAAUAUAAAGUUGUAAAAUACGCAGUGCACCAGGUAAACUUCAUCGCCCUCACUACAUAAACCUCCUUGACCUCACGAAAACUGAGACCCAAACUAGGAUUAGAUACCCUACUAUGCCCAGCCGUAAACUAUGGUGUAACUACACCCGCCAGAGAAUUACAACGCCUAGCUUGAAACUCAAAAGACUUGACAGUAUCUCACACACCCCUAGAGGAGCCUGUCCUAUAAUCGAUAACCCACGCUAAACCUUACCUGCCCUUGAACAAAUCAGCCUAUAUACCUCCGUCGCCAGUCCGCCUGUCAACAGUUAAUAAAGCGCGUACAAUAGCCCAUCGCUCACACGACAGGUCAAGGUGUAGCUAAUGGGCAUAGGCAGAGAUGGGCUACAUUUUCUCCACUAGAAAACACCUAAAAUGCAAUGAAAUGUGACUUGUAAGGUGGAUUUAGCAGUAAGCGAGGUCAGACAAGCCCCCCUGAAGCCUUCCAUGAGAUGUGUACACACCGCCCGUCACCCUCCUCAUAAACACAUUAAACGUAACUAACAUGCCCCUAAAAUAAAGAUGAGGUAAGUCGUAACACGGUAAGCGUACUGGAAAGUGCGCUUGGCUAAU
RNAcentral lists this ribosomal RNA (983 nucleotides) under Uroplatus ebenaui. RNAcentral describes it as "12S rRNA". It matches the Rfam family "Bacterial small subunit ribosomal RNA". The record is from RNAcentral. Lineage: Eukaryota; Metazoa; Chordata; Lepidosauria; Squamata; Gekkonidae.